This 539-nucleotide ribosomal RNA is filed under the name uncultured Bacteroidota bacterium. RNAcentral's name for it is "bacterial SSU rRNA". It matches the Rfam family "Bacterial small subunit ribosomal RNA", at positions 76 to 611 of the family's 1533-position model. The record is from RNAcentral. Lineage: Bacteria; Pseudomonadati; Bacteroidota.
UUGCUUGCAAUCCGCUGACGACCGGCGCACGGGUGCGUAACGCGUAUGCAACCUACCUUCUACAGGGGGAUAGUCAAUAGAAAUGUUGAAUAAUACCCCAUACGAUCUUUGAAUAGCAUUAUUUAAAGAAGAAAGCUCCGGCGGUAGAAGAUGGGCAUGCGUCCUAUUAGUUAGUUGGUAAGGUAACGGCUUACCAAGACUUCGAUAGGUAGGGGUCCUGAGAGGGAGACCCCCCACACUGGUACUGAGACACGGACCAGACUCCUACGGGAGGCAGCAGUGAGGAAUAUUGGACAAUGGAGGCAACUCUGAUCCAGCCAUGCCGCGUGCAGGAAGACUGCCCUAUGGGUUGUAAACUGCUUUUAUACAGGAAGAAAUAUACCUACGUGUAGGUAUUUGACGGUACUGUACGAAUAAGGAUCGGCUAACUCCGUGCCAGCAGCCGCGGUAAUACGGAGGAUCCAGGCGUUAUCCGGAAUCAUUGGGUUUAAAGGGUCCGUAGGCGGUCUUUUAAGUCAGAGGUGAAAUCCUACAGCUCA